ACAUUCUAACGUACCCUGGAGAUCCCUGAGCAUCCUCUUGGUGUCACCACUGUUGAGGCAACGCCAACUGCCAUUUAGGGCAUUUGUACAGUGCCUCUGGGAUUCACAAAGAUAUUUGGUGAGACUGAGAGAGGUACUUGGGAGAGAAUGGACAGUCUAGAGAAGAGAGAGAAGCAGAAGGAAGCUAGUCAUCUGUCUCAGGGAACUACUGGAAAGGCAUCAUCUCAACUCUCCCCUCACUUAGCAGGAUCUGAGGAUGAACAAGGUGGAAAAACUGACCAUUCAGCUAUAGAUGAGGACCUGUUAGAGGAAUGAACUACCUGGAAUCCUGGACCAUGAUACAAACAAUGAUUUGAAAAGCAGACAAAGGCUGAAUGGCAGUAACGCUCUUUAAGUUCACAAAGCAUUUGGACUACCUACUUCCUAACAAUCUCCUGUAAGUCCUGUUUGAAACGGUGUGGCCUCCUCUUGGAUGCUGAUUCUGAUUUUAGUCAAGGAUGAAUCAAAGACAUUGCUUACAGUCUAUCAUCAAGGGAAACUAAGGCAAGAUCUCAAGACAGGGGCUUAAAACCAGAGGAGCGCUGCUCACUAGUCACCUCAGCUACCGUUUCUCUGUGGCCCAGGCUCACUUGCCUAAGGAUGGCACUACCUACAGAGGGCUGAGCCCUCAUCCAUCAAUUAGCAAUCAAAAAAAUGCCAAAGAAGCAUGCCUGCAAGCCAGUCUUUUGGUGUCAAUUCCUCAACUAUGUCUCAAGUAAACAGCCAAGAACGGCCAUAACAGCAAGCCAGAAAGGAGAAAAUAUAAACUUCAGCUUACUGCAAAGAAAAUUGACCCUCUAUGAAUAGGAUUCUAUGUCCAAAGUGAAAAUUCAAUGGUAGGAAGAGUAAUUUAAUACAAUUUAUGGAGGAAAAACAAAGCAAUACUUAAAAUAAUGAGUGACAAUAAGCCCUAGCCACAAAGGAAAAGUUGGUAUCUUUGACUAUUGAAACCCCUUCUGGAGGCUGCAGGUGGACAUGGGGAGGGGUUGUUGGCUGACAGCACCUUUGACCAUCCUUCCAGUGUUUUGGUGGAGGAGUUCCCAUCAGAAGACCUACUUCUUACUACAGAGACCAGGACCCAAAUACAAACCUGAGUCAGCAACUGCUUGCCAGAGCUUAGGUUCUAGAGAAAUGAAGGAGUCCAUUCUGCUUGAUGAUUUGGGGAAGCGGCAUCCCAUUUUAGGAGCCCUGGAUGUUGCGGUCUUCUAAAGCAGCACCAGGCACAUUGUAGAAAGCCAGUAUUCUUGGUGGCACACACUGCAGUGCCCAUGCUCAUCUUGGUAGUGUCAGUGGUGAGCUCUGGAAUAUGACUUGGUUCUCGAGUAUGAUUUAUUACCUGUUACUUCUGUCUUCAAAUCCUGCCUCUUUGACCCUCAGUAAACUUCAAAUCCUAAUAAACCACUUUGCUUUGAAAACAA
Molecule: long non-coding RNA, 1457 nt
Organism: Peromyscus eremicus (cactus mouse)
Lineage: Eukaryota; Metazoa; Chordata; Mammalia; Rodentia; Cricetidae
Exons: 4
Source: RefSeq, a predicted model, not a curated record